UGAGGUUAAGGGCAGAGACAGGUAAAGAUGAAAAGCUAAAA
This 41-nucleotide small RNA is filed under the name Arabidopsis thaliana (thale cress). RNAcentral describes it as "ATSL012900". The record is from RNAcentral. Lineage: Eukaryota; Viridiplantae; Streptophyta; Magnoliopsida; Brassicales; Brassicaceae.